AGUCGAGCGAACGGACGAGAAGCUUGCUUCUCUGAUGUUAGCGGCGGACGGGUGAGUAACACGUGGAUAACCUACCUAUAAGACUGGGAUAACUUCGGGAAACCGGAGCUAAUACCGGAUAAUAUUUUGAACCGCAUGGUUCAAAAGUAAAAGACGGUCUUGCUGUCACUUAUAGAUGGAUCCGCGCUGCAUUAGCUAGUUGGUAAGGUAACGGCUUACCAAGGCAACGAUGCAUAGCCGACCUGAGAGGGUGAUCGGCCACACUGGAACUGAGACACGGUCCAGACUCCUACGGGAGGCAGCAGUAGGGAAUCUUCCGCAAUGGGCGAAAGCCUGACGGAGCAACGCCGCGUGAGUGAUGAAGGUCUUCGGAUCGUAAAACUCUGUUAUUAGGGAAGAACAUAUGUGUAAGUAACUGUGCACAUCUUGACGGUACCUAAUCAGAAAGCCACGGCUAACUACGUGCCAGCAGCCGCGGUAAUACGUAGGUGGCAAGCGUUAUCCGGAAUUAUUGGGCGUAAAGCGCGCGUAGGCGGUUUUUUAAGUCUGAUGUGAAAGCCCACGGCUCAACCGUGGAGGGUCAUUGGAAACUGGAAAACUUGAGUGCGGAAGAGGAAAGUGGAAUUCCAUGUGUAGCGGUGAAAUGCGCAGAGAUAUGGAGGAACACCAGUGGCGAAGGCGACUUUCUGGUCUGUAACUGACGCUGAUGUGCGAAAGCGUGGGGAUCAAAC
This 731-nucleotide ribosomal RNA is filed under the name uncultured Staphylococcus sp. Its description in RNAcentral is "bacterial SSU rRNA". It matches the Rfam family "Bacterial small subunit ribosomal RNA", at positions 60 to 773 of the family's 1533-position model. The record is from RNAcentral. Lineage: Bacteria; Bacillati; Bacillota; Bacilli; Caryophanales; Staphylococcaceae.